Unclassified non-coding RNA from Dipodomys ordii (Ord's kangaroo rat), 290 nucleotides. It matches the Rfam family "Metazoan signal recognition particle RNA". From Rfam's summary of the family: The signal recognition particle (SRP) is a universally conserved ribonucleoprotein. It is involved in the co-translational targeting of proteins to membranes. Lineage: Eukaryota; Metazoa; Chordata; Mammalia; Rodentia; Heteromyidae. The record is from Ensembl.
GCCGGGCGCGGUGGCGCACGCCUGUAAUCCCAGCUACUCGGAAGGCUGAGCCCGGAAGAUCGCUUGAGUCCAGGAGUUCUGGGCUGCAGUGCGCUAUGCCGAUCGGGUGUCUGCACUAAGUUCGGUAUCAAUAUGGUGACUUCCCGGGAGCGGGGAAACACCAGGUUGCCUAAGGAGGGGUGAACCGGCCCAGGUAGGAAACAGAGCAGGUCGAAAUUGCUCUUCUCUAUGUUUUGUUAUCUACAUUUGUUAUAAGCAAGUAAAGUAAGCUCAAAAAACAUGUGAUUUUU